GUGUUCAUUUACUUCAUUCAUUUUUGAAAUAUUAUUUUUGCUUCAAUAUGCUAAAAAUUAAUUUUUUAUUAAAUGAUAACGAAUAUUGCAAAAUAAUUUUUUAUUUCCUCUUAAAUUGUCAGCGUCUUGUUUUCCUCAAUUUUAUCCCUAAAGGUCAAAUUAUGGCCUUCGACUCUGUUAGCAGAAAAAACAAAUAAACAGUAUUCUUCUGUUGCGUAUUACUCUCACUCAGCCAAACUUAUUAAAGAAGAUGAUGCAUAUAUUGCGCCGCUCUUUAAUGACCUCCCUUACAGCUUAAUUUUCUCCAUGUGUUUUCAUUUUAUCUUCCACAUAUAUACUCCCCUUGUUUUUUUGUGCUAGUCAGAACCUCAAGUGACCGGAUGACACCCCCUUUUUAUUAUCGUACUUUUAUAAUGACUGCAUUUAGAUGUGGCAGCUAUAGUAUUGUUCGAGUUCUCGUGACGAGCGCAACUUGAAUAUUACCCGAAUUUCUAGCAUCUCGCAAUCUGCUGACCAACUUAAUCAAAUCACAGACCAGCACUGCGGGACAAUUCAAGUAUUAACCAUGCUUCGUAACGAAGUACUCUCAGUUGCGAUCUUCUGCUUGCUGCUACUUAGUAUUGCCAAUUAUCAAGUAGACGCUAAAAGAGGUUCAUCGGUGAGGUUAUCAAGUUCUCAUGGUUUCAAGAAGUCGCCAAAAUCUUCUGGUUUCUACUCACGGUCACACAAUACUCUACAUACCCACCAUCAUUCCAACACCAAUAUUGGAAACAUUGAUAAAAAUGGAUUGAAGGAUUGCUCGUUUUUUGAUAGGGCAAUUCUUCGCAAAGAUCAUUGUAAGAAAACAUAAAUUAUUCAAAAUCAUGCAUUGUAAUGAACAUUGUAUCCUGGAGAUUAAUCAUUUUCAAUUGAUAUGAAUAUAAAAAAAUAUUACCGUGCUGCAUGAAAAAUGUAAAUAUAAAAAUACAAGAACUGGAUUUAAUCGAUCUCUCUUUGAAUAUCUGUUUGUUUCGCAAAAAAAAACAAUGAAAUAUGUUUAAGAAUAAAUUUGUGUGGUUUGA
Long non-coding RNA from Cloeon dipterum, 1061 nucleotides. RefSeq lists it as uncharacterized. The record is from RefSeq and is a predicted model, not a curated record. Lineage: Eukaryota; Metazoa; Arthropoda; Insecta; Ephemeroptera; Baetidae. The transcript has 2 exons.